GAAAUGCGAUACGUAGUGCGAAUUGCAGAAUUCAGUGAAUCAUCAAAUCUUUGAACGCAUCUUGCGCUCUUGGGUAUCCCUGAGAGCAUGCUUCUUUGAGUAUCGUCUCAACCCAACCUCGUCUGCGUGCUGUGUAAAAACAGCAACGCACGCCGGAGAAUGAUCGUCUCACUUGCAGUGAGUCGAUUGAAAUCACAUGGCGCUUAUCAUUCGAACCCUUUGCCGGACGUAACACUCUGGGUGGGCUCGAUGUUUGAUAAAGGUUUCUUUUAACCCCAUCUGCAUCGAAUCUCACGGUACGAUUGGAAGUGCGAAGGAAAACUCAAUUGUUUUUUGAACUUGAUCUCAGAUGAAGCAAGAAAACCCGCCGAAUUUAA
RNAcentral lists this unclassified non-coding RNA (377 nucleotides) under uncultured fungus. Its description in RNAcentral is "sequence contains ITS1". The stretch from base 1 to 105 matches the Rfam family "5.8S ribosomal RNA", at positions 50 to 154 of the family's 154-position model. Lineage: Eukaryota; Fungi. The record is from RNAcentral.